AACGAACGCUGGCGGCGCGUCUUAAGCAUGCAAGUCGAACGGUAAGGGAGAGCUUGCUCUCCCCUAGAGUGGCGGACUGGUGAGUAACGCGUGGGUGACCUGCCCUGAAGAUGGGGAUAGCGAGUAGAAAUAUUAGAUAAUACCGAAUGUGCUCAUUUACAUAAAGGUAAAUGAGGAAAGGAGCUACGGCUCCGCUUCAGGAUGGGCCCGCGUCCCAUUAGCUGGUUGGUGAGGUAAAGGCCCACCAAGGCAACGAUGGGUAUCCGGCCUGAGAGGGUGAACGGACACAUUGGGACUGAGAUACGGCCCAAACUCCUACGGGAGGCAGCAGCUAAGAAUCUUCCGCAAUGGACGAAAGUCUGACGGAGCGACGCCGUGUGAAUGAAGAAGGCCGAAAGGUUGUAAAAUUCUUUGCAGAUGAAGAAUAAGAAGAAGAGGGAAUGCUUCUUUGAUGACGGUAGUCAUGCGAAUAAGCCCCG
This 479-nucleotide ribosomal RNA is filed under the name Treponema denticola. RNAcentral describes it as "bacterial SSU rRNA". It matches the Rfam family "Bacterial small subunit ribosomal RNA", at positions 29 to 495 of the family's 1533-position model. Lineage: Bacteria; Pseudomonadati; Spirochaetota; Spirochaetia; Treponematales; Treponemataceae. The record is from RNAcentral.